Molecule: long non-coding RNA, 212 nt
Filed under: Elaeis guineensis (African oil palm)
Lineage: Eukaryota; Viridiplantae; Streptophyta; Magnoliopsida; Arecales; Arecaceae
Description: long non-coding RNA (EGUI_LNC008790)
Source: RNAcentral
CAUCAAUGACCAAACCUCCGAAGAAGGAAGCUAGGGAGGUGGGGGUCAUGACCCAUGGGUGCCGCACCAUGGGCGACGGCGUAGGUAGUCGGAAAAAGGAGGAAGAAGGCUCGUUCAAAACAGAGAAAAAUAGGAUCUUGCUUUUUUAUGGAUUUUCUAACGAACUCGAUGGUCGGCGGGGGUGAGCGAUACCAUGAGAAGGAGGAGAAGGA